RNAcentral lists this long non-coding RNA (1192 nucleotides) under Homo sapiens (human). Its description in RNAcentral is "HSALNT0341700". Lineage: Eukaryota; Metazoa; Chordata; Mammalia; Primates; Hominidae. The record is from RNAcentral.
UCAUGAUUGCAGGAUAAAUAUAUUGAAGUGAUAACACAUAUAGAAUUUUCCUUAAGGAGAAUUUGCGUUUGGUGAUGGGGGAGUUAUUUUAUUUGAAUUUUAACAGGACUUUGUAAAAACUUGUUAACUUGAAGGCUCUGUAUUUUAACAAUGUAUACAGAGAUUCUUUUAGUUAUUAGCUCUGGUCCUGGUGUCAGCUGGGAAACCAGGAUGUGAAUCCAGACUCCAUCACUGCUAUUUCUAUUUACCUCUAGGCAACUAAGAGUAACUGUUGGCUUUCAUACCGGUGAAAUAGGAUUAAUUAUAGUGCCUACCUCAGAGGGCUCUUGUGAGGGUUGAAGAUUACAUGAUAAAAUAAACGUGAAGCAUUUAGUGCAGUGCCUUACCGUAGAAGGUCCUCUGUAAACCUUAUUAAUAAUUAGGUGUUACAGAGGCAGAUUCAUAGGGGAUUGACAUAUACAAGCUAUAUGGUUGUUUUGUUGUGGUUAUUAUUGUUGUUUUUAUGUCAAUGAGUAUAUUUUACAUAAAAUGUAAGUGCCAGCCAAAUCACAUGGUUGUCUACUUCUAAACAAGCUUGGAAAUGACCAAGAUAUGAUGAUAUAUAAGCCAAGCACAACAACAUUUGGGAACUCCAUUAAAAUGCUACAUCAAUGGCAGACAGGAAUCACAGAAAUUUAUGACUUGGUAACCAUAGGGAAAAAUAGGCUAAUAUUUAAUUUUUGAAAAGGCACCUCUCAAACCUUAUAAAACAUACUAGCAUGUUAGUGUGAUGACAUUUUAGCUUAUAAAAGUAUUUGAAAGUUCACUGUAGGUUAUUAAUAUGCUAACUUCAUAAAACAGUGUAUGUAUUUUCUAGCACCGCACUGUGUGCUUUGCCCAAAACUUUGUUGUGUGUAAGUUAUGCAUGUCACAUAACUCACAGUGAGGUCAGUCAUAUCCUUUACGUAUCCUACCCGGGUCUAGCAACUCACUUUGUAAUGUGGUGAUACUUUCCAUCUAUUCUUUGCUUCAGCCAAAAAAGUGACAGAAAGAAUCCCCUUGUUAUAUUUUGUUACUUUUUUUCUCAUUGUAAUUUUAAAAUGUUGAUAAGUAAAUGAUAAAACUGUUAGUCCUUAUUAGCUCAAAAAUAUUUCUUUGGCUUUCCAUGUGUACUCAAUGGAGAUGAGUGCACAGGCAAAGUAGAAAUAUUUAG